GACCGGGUAGCUCAGCUGGUAGAGCAACGGACUUUUAAUCCGUAGGUCGUGGGUUCGAGACCCACCCCGGUCA
This 73-nucleotide transfer RNA is filed under the name Gemmatimonadota bacterium. Its description in RNAcentral is "Gemmatimonadetes bacterium tRNA-Lys". It matches the Rfam family "tRNA". Rfam says of the family: Transfer RNA (tRNA) molecules are approximately 80 nucleotides in length. Their secondary structure includes four short double-helical elements and three loops (D, anti-codon, and T loops). Further hydrogen bonds mediate the characteristic L-shaped molecular structure. tRNAs have two regions of fundamental functional importance: the anti-codon, which is responsible for specific mRNA codon recognition, and the 3' end, to which the tRNAs corresponding amino acid is attached (by aminoacyl-tRNA synthetases). tRNAs cope with the degeneracy of the genetic code in two manners: having more than one tRNA (with a specific anti-codon) for a particular amino acid; and 'wobble' base-pairing, i.e. permitting non-standard base-pairing at the 3rd anti-codon position. Lineage: Bacteria; Pseudomonadati; Gemmatimonadota. The record is from RNAcentral. RNAcentral also lists the same sequence under 3 other names.